UACUCACAAAUUAGUCGAUACUAUAGCUAAUUUCUUAAACUGAACCCUUUCAAGUAAAGAUUUUUAUAUAAACCUGUGAGGAUGAUACUACCAUUGGCGUAAUUAAAAUGCCAUAAACCUACGUUGUCGAAUUAGUUUGCGAAAAACCAAACUAAAUUUGAAUUUCGCGGGCAGGCCAGUCUCAUGCCCAUAAAGCGACGCCUUCUCGUGGACUUUUCGUUGACAAAAUGUUGCAUAAGCGGAAAUCCGCAAGUGUCGAAAAGUCGCUCGGACUGCAGUAACUAAAUACAUGCCUACUCAAGGCUCAAUAGAAAAUUAAAAAAAUAGGUAAACAAAGAACAACUUGGAUAAAUAAAAUAAAAAUAUUUCGAUAGGGAAAUUUGCUCGAGACGCGACCCAUUAUCUUGUCGCAAAAGGCUAGGAAAGGGACAAGUUGGCACACCUAGGAAGUUGUGGUGUUUUAGAAUAAAAAUAUUCUCAUAUCAUGCUACUUGUCGAAGGCAAUCGCUCUGGCCAUUGAACUCUAAUAUUGAUUAAUGUCAAUUUAAUAUUUGCCCCAGAUUUUGGUACUAAAACUUAUGUAGGUACAGACAUGCUGGUGAUUGUUUUAUUAUACUAGGUAGAUGAAGACAGAUCGUAUUCAAAUAUUUUAUAUCCUUUUAUAAUUUUCUUACAGUUUAUAAGUAAGUAUAGGUAAAGUCUCGUCCCUUACCUACCCUAUCGAGACGUCUCGAUGAGAUAAUAGGUACAUAAAACAGUACAGAUUUAUCUAAACGGGUUAGGAAGGGUACGAGUACUAACUCUAACACAUUGAACAUAUCUAUGUAAUUUAGUAAUAUGUAUAAAUCAACAACAAUAAUUUUAGUUUCUAUUUCUACCACAGACAUGUUAAUCGAAUAACUUCAUAAAUACUACUCACAGCUAACUCAACAUAUAGGUAACAUUUAUUUGGUAGAUAAAUAUUAUUAGACAAAAUACAGAUAGGUAAUAAAAUCAACAGCACUAAAUCACUUUGGUGCCUAGUUUGAACUACAUUAGGAUAAUACAGAACGACUGUUUGUCUUCAAUCGAUCUUCAAAACAGGCCACCGGAUUUUUUAUUUUUAUGUGAGAAAGUAUAUUUCUCAUCGAGAGAUUUGAUUAAGCUAUCAUUAUUUUGUGUUACGCAAGACUCAGUGUGGCCCUAGUCAAUACAUAGGUAACAGUAAUUGGCCUCGUUCGAGAAGCCUCACAUGGCAUAGGUACCACGAGGCGAUGCCAUAUCAAUAUAGCUAUUAAAUUAGGAUUUAUCAACACUUCUAUUAUGUUAUCUUUUUUUGUUUAUGCGUCUAAUACGAUGUAUUUAGCGCACCACAUAUGUAGUGUAGGUACCUACGCAAGUGAGAAAUUCCGACCGGAGUAUUCGGAAAAAUACUUAUAAUUUAUUUUAUAGAUAAGUAGAAAGUACCUACAGAAGAUUGUUUGACAGUCUUAUGUUAAAUUAAUUAUAAUUAAACUAAAAAAAAAAAUAUGUCGUAACUAAUAAAAAAUAUCGAUAGAAUGUGAAUUUGAGAUGGUUCAGUGAUAAGGAAACUAACUUGUGAAAGAUAUUAUAUUUUGUAGAAAAAUAACAGUUUUAAGGAUAACAAAUCCCUUUUCCAUCAAAUUCUCACCAACUAGGAACUAGGUAUUUUUAAUAAUAAAAUAUUUGAGAUUGUUAGGGCCGGCGCACAUAUGGCGGAGCGCAGCGCAGAGCAUGCCCGUGAAGUUUUCUAAUCACGUGACACAUUACGUGAAUUUCUCUACCAGAGAAUCCGCGAGCACGCGCGAGCCUGCGCGUGGAUGUGCGAGUAUCCGCACGGAUGCACAAUUGAUUUUAGAUAUUAUUUCAAUGAGGACAAUGUCUAUAAUAUUUUGACUGAAAAAUGCUCUGCGCUGCGCUCCGCCAUAUGUGCCCCGGCCCUUAGAGGCAUUUCAUCGACAGUCAUGACUCGUGACACUCAUGAGCUAAAUGUAAGUAGGUAGUAGGUAUAUCGAAAAUAUAAAAAAAUAACAGUAGGCAUCUAUAAACAAACGUCAUAGGUAUGUUUGUUUAACGGCUAGGUACCUAAUCUUACUAUUAUUUAAUUAUAAUAAUACAGACGGUAUAUGGUUUACAGUGGGUUUGCAGUUGUAAAAUACAUUCUACAUUGUGAACAGUAAUCCAGGAUUUUCCCCAAACUAUUUUUAGAUAUAAAUUCUACGCCAAAGUCACGUCAUGUAAACAGAGAUGCUGGUAUAACAUACAUUAAUGUAAACUAUUUACAUCAUAAAUUAUUGUAGUAAAUACUAAAUUCAUAAAUAAACAUAACCAGCGCUUACUUACUAUAAAAAAUAAGUGUAACUACUAAGUACGUAUAGUAUUAAAGAUAUUAUUAUAAAUCAAAACGAAUUAAACGUGAAUUAAACGUACCUACUUUUUAUAGGUACCGACCUUUAGAUAGCUUUAUUAUCAUUAUUGGGUACGGGAAUGUUCUUACUCGUAUUAGACCAAUAACACCUCAAAAAAUAGACAAGAAAAGCGUACAACAAAACAAAUUUUAAAAUAUACGUAGGUACAUAGAGAGCAGAUAAAUAUAGAUAAUGGUUUUUUUUAAUGGCAAUCAAUCACGAAAACCCUUCUUAAUUGAGCUGCUAAGAUUUUAACAGCUCAACUAUUGACUGAAGGAUAAUAGUUCAGUCACACUCACCAACAGAGCUCGAUGCUUAUGUACGCUCGAAAAGAAAUAUUAAUUAGCUAUUUAAAUUCACAAUGCAGAAUUGAGAAACCGAUAAAUUAAAUCAUCAGUUGAACCAGAAGCUAUAAGUAUGUAUACUAACAUAUGACCUCCAAAAAUAUUAAUACAUAUGAUAUUUGGUGACUCACAUUUAGGAGCCAAACCCUAUCUUAAACAUCUAUGUGCUUAAUAGUAGUCCUUAAAAGUAAUCUGACUGCGGCCUUUAAAUAAAUAUAAAUAUUUAUUUGUACUUUUUUAUAUGGCAUCCAAAAACUAAAUUUUUUAGGGAUUAUAUUAAAGGAUUGGAAUAUAAAGUUAGUAAAAGAAAGAUAAAUAGGAAUCCAGCUAUUCAGUUGGUUAGUGUUUGUCCCCACCACAUAAAUUACGUUUUACGAAUCUCCCUAAUGUCUUAUAUUAGAAUGCUCUAUUGGCCCUAAUUUGUAAUUCAUUAGAAGAA
This is a long non-coding RNA of Maniola jurtina (meadow brown), 3191 nucleotides long. RefSeq lists it as uncharacterized. The transcript is spliced from 2 exons. The record is from RefSeq and is a predicted model, not a curated record. NCBI's taxonomy places the organism in Eukaryota, Metazoa, Arthropoda, Insecta, Lepidoptera, Nymphalidae.